UACAGAGGUCUCAAGCGUUGUUCGGAAUCACUGGGCGUAAAGGGUGCGUAGGCUGCGUGGAAAGUCAGAUGUGAAAUCCGGGGGCUCAACCCCCGAAUAGCAUCCGAUACUUCCAUGCUAGAGGGUUGUAGGGGAGCUUGGAAUUCUCGGUGUAGCAGUGAAAUGCGUAGAUAUCGAGAAGAACGCUCGCGGCGAAGGCGAGGCUCUGGGCAACAUCUGACGCUGAUGCACGAAGGCUAGGGGAG
RNAcentral lists this ribosomal RNA (245 nucleotides) under uncultured bacterium. Its description in RNAcentral is "partial 16S ribosomal RNA". It matches the Rfam family "Bacterial small subunit ribosomal RNA", at positions 524 to 768 of the family's 1533-position model. The record is from RNAcentral.